UGGCGGCACUAGGACCCAGCGUGCUCGCUGCUGUCAAACAAGUAGCAUCUGCCUUUGCCUCUGAGCAGGGCAGGCUGGGCGGCUGCUCUCUGGAUCUCCACCUUCUCCGUGUCCUGCUCCUUUCGUGGACAUGGUGGCCGCAGGUGAAGGAGGUCCCCACGUGACCUGAGCGCACCUGAGUUUUCCUCAGAGAAGUGACAGUUUGUGUUCUUGAUUGAAGGCACCUGCCCUGAGCUCCUCCUCCCUCGGCUGUCACUCUGUCUGUCAGUGUGAGGAUAUCUCCUUCCCUCUUUCUAGGGUUUCAUAAUGCGCCGGGAUCUGCCGCUCAUUCACAGGCUGGGGUGGAUUUCAUCCCUCUGCUUGUUGGAGAACAUCAGCCAGUGAUGAAAACGGCCUCGACAUGAAUCAGCACAGUGGUUUGGAGGAGCUGACUGGGAGGCCUCGGGUCCCACACAACUUUAAAUAAGAUACAUUUUUACAAGAGGACUUUUUUUUAAGGAUUUAUUGUCUUGUUUGGAUUCCCUGAACUCAUAAUCAUGGGGAACGCAGCUGGAAGUGCCGCAAUCUCUCAAAAUAGGGAGACCAGGAGCCUGACUCCCACUGGGUCCGGGAAACAAGCGGCAGGUGUGAACCCCCCCAUGCCCCCCGAGGAGGAGCUGGAGGAGCGCUUCAGCGCAGCUCUGAUGUUGUUCUGCCUUCUUUCCUGCCACAUUUGCUGCUGUAGUGUUUCCUGUUUCUACAUCUCAGCUGGGAAACUUCUAGAGUAAAAGUCCUUCAUGCAUAAACCAGACCUAUUAUUAUGAGCCAAAUGUCAAAGUUGGUGCUGUGUGUGUUUACAUGUUCAUGCUGUCCUGUGGGUGACGAGAGAUGCUUUGCUGUCAACUCAUAGCAAAGAAUUACAAGUCCCCAGGAGGGAGGCAGAGAAAGCACAAGAACCUUUGGAGCUCUUUUUAAAAAGAUGCAUCAUAAAAAUGGAAGAAGAAAAAGCCAAUAUUAAUUUGGGUUUUGGAGGUAAAAGGUUUAUUGACACAACAGUUGUAAUUUUUUAAGAACUCGGUCAAAGUCACAUACAGAACCAAACCUUUGACAGCAGCAUUCCUCAACAUCAUCCCUCCCUCAGCAGCAGCGCCUUCAGAAAAACAAGGCUUGUGUCUCUUUACGCCCCGCCUUUGUUCAGUAUGCCACCAGACAACUUCCUCUCUUAUCAACCGCAUUCCUCGUUUUUAUCGUCUUAUCACCUCACCUCAGAUUCUUCUGCUCCUGAAGUUGAAUGGCAGGUGAGCCACAGACAGGAGGAUCGGCCUUUACCUCUACAGAGCAGCAAAUGUUUUCAAUUUCUCUUUAGUCAAACAGCUGGAGGACAAAUGCUUGGUUUAUGAAUGAAUGACCUGUAAUGUGAUUUAGAAGAAUCCUUCUCAUCUUGAUUUUAGGCUCUUCAUGGUUGAAUGGCACUUGCUCACAUCUCUUUUUGUCCUUUUAGCCGUCAUCAGUGUAUCUGUGAGUAAGGCUGGCUGGGAAAACACAGGAGAAAGACUGACUGUUCCAUCAGAUGCAGACACUGAAAGAAUAACUGAUUCCUAAGAAUGUUGUGUUUCAGACUCAUAGACGUACAUCUCCGGGUGAGGAGAAAAAAAUACAGGCCUGGGCUUAAAGGCAUGUACAAAAAACAACAGAAGAUUGCACUUUAAUAAUUAUCUACAGAAGUUUUUUUGUUCCUCUUUUUCAAGAAAUUCUGUUUUUCCUCUGUGUGUUCUUUAAGUAAGAAUCAAGCUAGAGAAAGAAUUAGCAAAACUUUGAGUUUGGUACAUGCAUUUGUUGCAAAUCUAGUCUAAAACAAAAACACUGAUUUCCAGAUACCAAAUGGUAUCCUCCGAGUAUUGACUUUGUUUUUUUCCAUUUACGAUAAACAUACAGGUUAAGCUGGUUCGCCUGUGCUGGAUCAUGACUGUGUGGUGGAAAUAGUUUUCCAAAUAUUUCAUCACUUUUUAAAACGACUUCCGGGAGCAUCUGUUAGACCUGAAAGGCGUGUGCCAUGACGACCUGUAUUUAGACACUCGUCAUGUGGAAUGCUCCCUUCAUACACCUCCA
Oryzias sinensis (Chinese medaka) is the source of this 2088-nucleotide long non-coding RNA. NCBI's taxonomy places the organism in Eukaryota, Metazoa, Chordata, Actinopteri, Beloniformes, Adrianichthyidae. The record is from Ensembl.